UACGGGGGGGGCAAGCGUUGUUCGGAAUUACUGGGCGUAAAGGGCUCGUAGGCGGCCAACUAAGUCAGACGUGAAAUCCCCCGGCUUAACCUGGGAACUGCGUCUGAUACUGGGAGGCUUGAGUAUGGGAGAGGGAUGUAGAAUUCCAGGUGUAGCGGUGAAAUGCGUAGAUAUCUGGAGGAAUACCGGUGGCGAAGGCGGCAUCCUGGACCAUUACUGACGCUGAGGCGCGAAAGCUAGGGGAGCAAACGGG
This 253-nucleotide ribosomal RNA is filed under the name uncultured bacterium. RNAcentral describes it as "partial 16S ribosomal RNA". It matches the Rfam family "Bacterial small subunit ribosomal RNA", at positions 524 to 776 of the family's 1533-position model. The record is from RNAcentral.